This 253-nucleotide ribosomal RNA is filed under the name uncultured bacterium. Its description in RNAcentral is "partial 16S ribosomal RNA". It matches the Rfam family "Bacterial small subunit ribosomal RNA", at positions 524 to 776 of the family's 1533-position model. The record is from RNAcentral.
UACAGAGGUCUCAAGCGUUGUUCGGAUUCAUUGGGCGUAAGGGGUGCGUAGGCGGCGCGGUAAGUCGGGUGUGAAAUCUCGGAGCUUAACUCCGAAACUGCAUUCGAUACUGCCGUGCUUAAGGACUGGAGAGGAGACUGGAAUUUACGGUGUAGCGGUGAAAUGCGUAGAUAUCGUAAGGAAGACCAGUGGCGAAGGCGGGUCUCUGGACAGUUCCUGACGCUGAGGCACGAAGGCCAGGGGAGCAAACGGG